Molecule: non-coding RNA, 73 nt
Organism: Favolaschia claudopus
Lineage: Eukaryota; Fungi; Basidiomycota; Agaricomycetes; Agaricales; Mycenaceae
Source: the annotation of a GenBank genome assembly
GGACUGGUAGCUCAGUUGGUAGAGCCACCACUAUAUAUGCGGGAGGUCUCGAGCUCGAUCCUCCACCAGUGCA